UAGAUUACAAAGUCUCUUGACUGUAAUCCCCAAAGACAUGUUGGUAAAAUUUAGUUUCCUAGAAUAAGUGUGUUAUUAAGCCUCUGGAGAAAGACAAUACAUGACACAUCUUUAAAAAAAAAAUAUUUGGGUAUCGUAUGGAGAAGAUGAAUCACUAUGUUGUUCACCCGAAACGAAUGUAACAUCGUGUCAACUCCACUCAAAUAAGAAAAUUUUAAAGAAAUAUUUAGGGAUCACAAGGGGAGCCUCUGAUUCAAUUUUUCAUUGUGCCACACCAGGCAGGACAAGAAACAAACUGCUUUUAAGUCUUAAAUGAGAAAUAACGUGGUUACAAAACGUUGCUGGUUUAGUGUGAUUCACAAGCCAUUGCAAUGCCAGCCAAGGGAAGUAGGAGCCAAACCCGGGCUGUGGACCGAGGACCGGACAGCCCCACCCGGCAGGGGGAUGGUGGAAACAUCCUUCCACGUCUGAGAGCAGAGCGAGGUGAGCCUGUUACUGGAGAGCCCGAAGCGGACCAGUCUGGCUGUGCAGGCUUCAGGAGGUCCUUCGGCCAGGUGGUGAGAUACCAUCUCUGAGAUGGGGCCGGUUGCCCCGGGUCAGACUAGAAGAGGCUGGGGUAGGGGUCUCCCCACCCACCGCCACCCCCGGCUGGCUCACAUCACGGAGACCACAGUGCAGAGGAAAGCAAAGAGGGGAAAAAAAGAACCCUGGAUCGGGAGUAUACACACACGCAAAUAGGAAAAGUCUGGUCAGCUGAAAAGGAAGGAGAAAAAAGGGGAAAAGAAAAAUGCAGCGUGGCUAGCCCUUGUGGUCAGAAGCGAGAAUCCGUGAAAACUGGUCGUUCUUACUCUCUGUGGGCAGAAGUUUCAGCCGGGCCAAGGGCAGAUAAAGGAAUCCAAGGCCGAUUGCCAAAGACCGGAGCAACGCAAACGGACUCCCACGGACACGCACAGAGGGAAGCGCCCAGGAGGACACGAUGAGACGCAGCCGUCUGCAAGUCAAGGAGGGAGAACCCCGCACGGCUGGCACCACAAUCUUGGGCUUCCAGCCUCCAGAACUGGUACUCCUUGCGUCCUGGUGCUAAUCCACACCACUAUUGCUGGGACAGAGCCCAGGCUUGGACGUCGUGAAGUGGCCCGAACCUCCCCAACAUAGCCGCUUUGAAGCCCCGUGUCCAGUUGGUGAAAUGACCCCCAGGAGGCACAGGAGAGCCCCCAGAGGGUUGUUCCCAGGAUAUGCGAUCAGUCUGGUAAGUAAGAGGCCCCGAUCAGAGGCUUCACCAAGAGAUAUGACCUGCCAGACCGGUUUGUCAACCAGCUGCAGCCACUUGGGGGUGACUGGUCCAUCUGGAUGAACGCAGAUCUGGAUGCUCAAACAAUUCUCUCAAUGUCUGGUUUUCUUUUAACUGAAGAGGGGCUUACAUUUUUCUUCCCAUUUUAUCUAUUUUGCAGCUGGUUCUUAGAGAUGCUCUAGCCCAGUCUGUUGGUCUUGUGAGUUUCAGAAGGCGCACCCGGCCCCCCACUCCCAUGGCUCCUUCCCCAUGUGAUUACAUCUUUCCUUGGUAAUGGGGUUUUGACUGGCCUUUUGUAGCAUGUGAAGCCACAAUGGGACAAGAAUAUUCUCCCCUUAUUUUUAUCAGGCGCUUUUAUUUCCUGAGCUGUUUUUGUAAGUGUGAUUGUUUCUGGUUCUGCUUCUCAUCUGGAAGGGGGCCCAGGAUUCAGGGAUAAGAUUAGAUGCCCUGCUGUGUCAAUUGGUCUUUUAAAAGAAAGAAGCAAAAGUUGAUCACAUGCUGAAGCUCAGGGCCGAUGCAGAGCUACCUCCCAAGAGGCCAAUCAAUUUCAAUUAAGGAGAUUAAAAGCCCCGAGCACAGAGAGGCCUGGUCACGGGUUUCUGAAUGCCUUGCUCCUCCAGCAGCCUAAAAGCAGGCAGCGGACCCCAGAAGCGCUGGAUCUUAUCCCCUGGGCCGUUGGCAAGACAGUGAGGGAGCACAUGCAAAAGAAGGAGCUAGCUGAAGGGGCUCAGUGAUCCUUCACAGCAUCUGGGGCAGGACCGACGAGUCAAUGUCCUCACCCCCACUAAGUAUCCAGACCCAAAUUACUGGGCCAAACCUACCCAGUGCAAACUACCACCCCAUCACACUUCCCAGGGGACAGAACUACCCCAGGUUCUCAUGGUCUGUCCCCUCCCCUUCCGAGGCGGCGGCCCUCCCCACCAGAUUCCAGGUCGCCACCUUCCCUAACUGCUCGGGCAUCCUAGAGCCCACACCGCUGAGGGUGGGCAGGGGACCAGAGCGGGGGUGCCAGGCAGAGGAGAGGGGCCUUAGCACCACACAGGGUCUGCCUCUUACUAGCUCUGCAUUGGCUCUGAGUCAGCACGUGACUGAGUUUCUUUUUAAGACCGGUUGGCACACCAGGACAUCCCCUUAGCACCCAGGUAUCUCAGCGAGCCUCACUUCCCAUGUGCAUCAAAACAGAACCAUCACCCGCCGCACCGGGUUGGCCAGGCUCCCAGGAGGUCACACAUGUUUACAUCAAGCACCUGACACCCCCUCGCCGCCCUCCGCAGGCAGCCCUUCCGAUUACAGUGGCCCUGGGCAGACAGGGGAGGUGGGGGGGGGUUACAUUCAGGCCCCCCAACCCCUGAUCUGGUGGUUUUUGUUUAGAAGCCAGUGAAUCAGCAGUCCUGUUAGUGCCGGAAGAUCAUGCUUUGUCUGCCGUGAAUGCUGUGUAAAUAUCGACGCUGUGUCACCUGCCGGGGCCGGGAGAACCAGGGCCGACGGAGGGGUGUGCAGGGAUGCAGGGGAGGGGGCUGAGCCCGCUGCAGCCCCUGGCAGGGCAGGAAGGAAGCAGGGCUCUCUGGGAGGGGAGUAGCAGGAGGCUGAUGGAAAGCAGUUACUUGCUGGGCAGGAAAGAGAAGUGGCCAGGAACUCAGCUUCAUGCCCAGGAGUAGUAACAAAGACAAGAUCUAGCAAACUCCAGGAGCCCGAAGCCACCGUUCCCCUGGCACCUCUUCUCUGCUCCUUCUCCUCGGCUGCUAUCCCAUUUUCAGGCCGGCCUGGAGAGGGAAGGUGGCUGAGGAGGAGGCUCGGUCCAGGCCAUGUGGCAGCGCGUCUGUCAUCUAAAGGACAGGAGGGGCCGCUGUGGAACACCACGCAUCAAGAAGCACGGGGUCACAGUUCUCCCAGCCCUGUGGGGUGCCAGGUGCCAGGUGGCUCAUGCACUUGCCCAAGGUCACUCUAGUCCAUGGCAGAGCCAUUUCCCAGGGUCCUUCUCCCACACCUCCCUGCCUCCUGGGCCUGCUUCCAUCUCUGACCUACUUCUCCCAAGAUAAUUGAGAAACAAAUGACCGAAGCUGCAGGCCUAGGCUUGUGAAGGCUUGGGAUGGCUGUUCAUCAACGUGAGAGCAUCUGGACCUUUUUUUUUAAACAACGAGAAAAGUAAGUCUUGUGCAGAUUGUAUUAUAUACAAAUGGCAUUUUUCUGGAUACAGAUUUAUUUUACAAGUGUAGAAAAAUGGAACUUACCAUUCACAUUGAAGAGGAGGAAACUUGCUGUGUGGAGUUUUAAGGAAGCUUUAAGUUGCUAAGGAAGGAGUAGAUGAGCUUCCCGAAGGAAGCCUUGCCUCGAGGUGGGACCAGCUUUGUGGGAGGGAAGGCAUCACCAGCCACCAGCCCUUCCUUUAGAAACCUGUGGGGUGGCCGCCCCAUCAGGCAAUAGGAAGGGACUGGGGUGUGAUGUGCCCUGGGACCUGCCUUCCUUUUUUUUUUUUUUUAAAGAUUUUAUUUAUUUGACACAGAGAGAGAGAGAGCACAAGCGGGGGAGCAGCAGAGGGAGAGGAAGAAGCAGACUCCCUGCUGAGCAGGGAGCCCGACAUGGGGCUCGAUCCCAGGACCUGAGAUCAUGACCUGAGCCGAAGGCUGACGCUUAACGACUGAGCCCCCCAGGCGCCCCUGGGACCCGCCUUCCAACAGAGCACCUGUACAGGCAGAUUCCACUGACAAAGCAUUGCUGUUAAAUUGGUGUGGAUGCUGCUGAAGGCUCGCUGUCCCCUCUGUGUUCAUCUCCCUGUGGAGCUGUCACCGAGCCUCUCAGGAACCAGGCUUCCUGCGUGGGCCACCUUCUGAGGGCCGCUGCCUAGAGCCCCAUGAAAUACACUCUUGUCAGCCCGCACAUCAGUGGGACGCCACCACUUCCAGAGACAAAGACUCGCAUUGGGGUCCCAGUGAAGAUGCAAGACUCCUCCCCAGAGGACAGAGCAACCUGCUUGACAAGAACAGAGGGGUCCUCUUGCCCAAAAGCACUGGAUGUCAGAACAGAGGGGUCUUGGGUGGGCGGAAGCCUCUGGGAAUCUGGACAGGAGUGAACAUUUCCCAGCAGAAACUUUUCCUGGCAAGAGAACUGGAGAGGAAGAGGUGUUCUGAGCCUUCAGUAUGGUUGCAGGGAUGAUGCAUCACAAAAACGAAACAAAUUAGUCCUUGGGACAGACGACCCAGGGGCAAAUCAGCCACCACAACAAAAAAGACAAGCUUUCAAACCAACAAGAGAAGACAAGAUUGUAAUGCCUUCCUAACAACGUUGCUUUAUUGAUGCGAUGCAAGGAAAACUACAUUAGAUUCUAUUGAUUCUCUUUGAGAUCUAAUAAUAUGCUUUAUUCAGAUCUUAUUCACAUACCACUUCCUCCACCGUCUUUCUCAGGAGCUGAAAUUGGCCAGUUACAAACAGAAUUUGUUCUCCUCUCCUUUGAAAUCACAGAAGUGGACGUGUUUUAGAACACAAAAGGUACUAAGCUUUCUCAGGGAAAGAAAGCAGAGCUGGAAGAAAAAAAAAAUCUCCCCUCUAAACAAAAUUGAAAGCAUGCCUUACUUUAGAUUUAUUUGAUUACAAAGUCUUUCUCGGAGCUAAUCAGUUUUAGAACCCGUUCCUAUUGGCGCCAAUGAGCCAAUAAAAAAUCCAGAAGGAGAGAAGAAGUAUCACAACAACUCAAGGAAACAAGGUUGUUCGUUUUUUUUUAAAAAGCAUUGAAUUAAUGUCUACGCCGCUGAGUCAAAUUAUUUAUACACAUGCUAUAGGUUUUGCAUCCCCAGAAUUUGUUAGCAUUCAGAGUAUGAUAAAUUGUCCCUGACUGACUUGUGAAAAAUCAUCUCAAGAAGGAUUUUUUUUUUUUUCCAAGCGGAAAAAUAUGUACAUGACACACGGUGGUUUAUUGAAACUGUUCUUCAGAUGAACAGCCUGAAGGGAGAGGCAGGUUUUUAGAUGUCACAACGAUGGUUAAGAAUUUCGGCUGUGGGGCAGUGUUAUAAAGCUCAUGAAGUCACUUCACUCCUGUACCUUGUGUUCUUCAUCUCUCCAGUAGGUUCCAAACUCGGGGCUUUCUGCAAAAUUCAGAGGGAUCAUACGUGAGCCCUCCCAGGAUUAAGAACCUAAUAAAUGUCAGCCUUUGUAUCAGUAUUAUUAUAGAGAAUCUUUUCCUAGUUAUAUUUCAUCUGCAGAAAAAUUACAAAAAGGAUUAAGUUUGUUGGAAAAACAACAAAGUAGGUCUUGCGCCCCCUUAAUGCAUGUGCUGUGUCAGUUCUAAGAAAGGAUGUUAACAAGUGUUAGUAAGCCUGUGUGUUGCUGGUGGGGUGUUAAACGGUCAGACCCUUUGGAAAACUGGUCGCUCCUUAAAAAGCUAAAUACAGAGUUACUAUAUGGACCAGCAGCUCCACUCCUAUCUGUAUAUAUAUAUAUAUAUAUAUAUAUAUAUAUACCCAAGGGAAUCAACAAUAUACAUCUGUACAAAAUUUGUCCACAGAUGUUCAUUGCAGCAUUAUUCACAAUAGCCAAAAGGUGGAAACAGCUUAGGUAUCUAUCAGCUAAUGAGUGGAUAAGCAAAAUGUGAUAGAAUAUUAUCUAAUAUUAUUAGAUGCUACAAUGGGGAUAAACCAUAAAUACAUUGUACUAAGUCAAAGAAGCCAGGUCUCACAAAAAAACACCUCUUGUCUGAUUCCAUUUUUAAAAAAAAUUUUUGAUUUAGAAGUUUUAUUUUUAUCACUUGCAAAUUGUAUUUUCUUUUCUGAUUUUUUAAAAAAUCAUUUAUUUUUUAAGUAAUCUCUACACCCAAUGUGGGGCUUGAACUCACAACCCUGAGAUCCAGAGUCGCAUGCUCUAAUGGCUGAGCCAGCCAGGUGCCCCUCUUAUGAUUAUUUUAAUACAACAUUGUUAGUUUCAGGUGUAUAACAGUGACUCACCCUGUGCCUGCAUUCUGAAAUGAUCACUUCAAUAAGUGUAGUCGCUGUGGAUGAUUCCAUUUACGUGAAAUACCCAGACCAGGCAAAUCCAGGGAGACCAGAAAGUAAUUAGCAGUUGCCUAGGUUGGGUCAGGGAGCAGUGAUGGGUAUGACUGCUAACAGGUGUAGGGUUUCUGGAAUUAGGUAGUGGUGAUGGUUGUACAACUUUGUGAAUAUACUAAAAACUACUGAAUUGUACACUUUAAUAUGGUUAGUUUUAUGAAUUAUUUCUGGGAAAAAAUUUUGAAUUCUUAAUGUGGAAGAUAAGAAGGAAACAAAAAAAAUUGCAGCAUCCAGAGAUAAUCACUGCAAGUGUUUUGAUGUAGAUCCUUCAGACUCAUGCAAAUAUACACAUUAAAAAAAAAAAUAGGGCGCCUGGGUGGCUCAGUUGGUUAAGCAACUGCCUUCGGCUCAGGUCAUGAUCCUGGAGUCCUGGGAUCGAGUCCCGCAUCGGGCUCCUUGCUCAGCAGGGAGUCUGCUUCUCCCUCUGACCCUCCCCCCUCUCAUGCUCUAUCUCAUUCUCUCUCUCAAAUAAAUAAAUAAAAUCUUUAAAAAAAUAAAAUAAAAUGGGAUCAUACAGGGCAUACUGCUGAGUGGAAGUUUUAUCUUAAUAUUACUAUUCUAUAUUAGGAAAUUGCCUCUAUACUUCAGUGACUUCUAUCUCUGAAUCUUCCCGAAUGUCUGGCCUUUCCACAUUUCUUGCCAUGUUCUUCUCUUUCCAAAGCUCUUCAGGAGGACUUUUCAAACUAUUUUGCACUCCUCGGAUCGUCAGGGUACUUCCAGUCCUUGCUGUCACAACUUGCCCUGUGUUACAAGAUAUUUCAUUAACACCUAUGAUUUCAAUAGACUUGAUUCAUAAAUCCACACUUCUACCUUGACUUUUAUCCCCUCUACUGGUCCUCCAUCUCCAAAAGCCCACUGGAAAUUCCCACUCGGAUAUUCAUCACUGACACUGUCAUAUGACUAAAAUCGAACUCAUUAUACUUUUCAAUGCCACAGCCUGGCACGGCAGAAGAUGUGCUGAAUGUUGAAUCCUGAAAGGAGAGUUCAUGCCCACACUUAACCUUUCUGAUUCAAAUCGGGCUUCUUGGAAGUGAUGGAGACCUACUGUGGCUAAUUUAGACAGAAAAGGGAUGCAGGGAGGGACGUGUGGUCGCUCCCGCCCCGGGCAGGAAGGCUGGAUAUGGGACAGGGCAGUGAAAACCAGCACCUGUCCACUUUGCUUAGCCUUGAUUUCCUUAAACCAAGAACGAUGGAGAUAAUUUUACCACCGGCCUCAUGGGAUUUGUAAGGAAGCCAGAGCCGGUAUUGCGGAAGAUACUUUGUAAACCAGGAGCCCCUGCGCAGGUGUGAGGCUUUCUUUCCAACCUCUGCUCUGUUCCUGACCAUUGUACCUUUGUGCCCC
Long non-coding RNA from Mirounga angustirostris (Northern elephant seal), 7669 nucleotides. RefSeq lists it as uncharacterized. The record is from RefSeq and is a predicted model, not a curated record. The transcript is spliced from 5 exons. NCBI's taxonomy places the organism in Eukaryota, Metazoa, Chordata, Mammalia, Carnivora, Phocidae.